AUAUCACUACUUUUUAUAGGAUUUUUAUUUUCAGCUGUUAAAAAUUAUUGAUUUUGAAUCCUUUCGAUUGUUAGGUAAAUGAUAUCGAAAAAUCGUAAAAAUUAUUUUCUAGAAACUUCAAAUACGCUAGAUCAAGUCUAACGGAGCCGAUCGUCGAUUCGAAAAUUCCAUCAUCGAAAACGGCUCAGGAGCACGGAAGCCUUCGUGCUCCUGAGAGCACUGCAGUCUUGCUCUAUAUAUAUAUAUAUAUAUAUAUAUGGGGCAAUUUCAUAGAUACCCUUUCCAAAGUCUAAAAUAUCAUGGAUGCUCCUAUAAAAUUUAAAAUAUCACAUAUACGCUUGUAAACACGGAAAAUUAUCAUCCAUAUCCCUACCGUCGAAUUCGUUUUCGGAUUCAGAUUUCAGAUUUGAUUGUUGGGUACAGACUCAGAUUUUUAAAAAUUCGCUCCGAAUCCGAACCGUUGACAUAGUCUAUUUCAGAUAAUGCUCUAU
This 491-nucleotide long non-coding RNA is filed under the name Ananas comosus (pineapple). RNAcentral describes it as "long non-coding RNA (ACOM_LNC017708)". Lineage: Eukaryota; Viridiplantae; Streptophyta; Magnoliopsida; Poales; Bromeliaceae. The record is from RNAcentral.